This 744-nucleotide ribosomal RNA is filed under the name Agaricus litoralis. RNAcentral's name for it is "eukaryotic LSU rRNA". It matches the Rfam family "Eukaryotic large subunit ribosomal RNA", at positions 172 to 905 of the family's 3401-position model. Lineage: Eukaryota; Fungi; Basidiomycota; Agaricomycetes; Agaricales; Agaricaceae. The record is from RNAcentral.
GGACCGUGUAUAAGUCUCCUGGGAUGGGGCGUCAUAGAGGGUGAGAAUCCCGUCUUUGACACGGAUUACCAGUGCAUUGUGGUAUGCUCUCAAAGAGUCGAGUUGUUUGGGAAUGCAGCUCAAAAUGGGUGGUAAAUUCCAUCUAAAGCUAAAUAUUGGCGAGAGACCGAUAGCGAACAAGUACCGUGAGGGAAAGAUGAAAAGAACUUUGGAAAGAGAGUUAAACAGUACGUGAAAUUGCUGAAAGGGAAACGCUUGAAGUCAGUCGCGUUGGCCAGGGAUCAGCCUUGCUUUUGCAUGGUGUACUUUCUGGUUGACGGGUCAGCAUCAAUUUUGACCACUGGAAAAGGCUCAAGGGAAUGUGGCAGCUUCGGCUGUGUUAUAGCCCUUGUUCACAUACAGUGGUUGGGAUUGAGGAACUCAGCACGCCGCAAGGCCGGGUUUCGACCACGUUCGUGCUUAGGAUGCUGGCAUAAUGGCUUUAAGCGACCCGUCUUGAAACACGGACCAAGGAGUCUAACAUGCCUGCGAGUAUUUGGGUGGAAAACCCAAGUGCGCAAUGAAAGUGAAAGUUGAGAUCCCUGUCGUGGGGAGCAUCGACGCCCGGACCAGAACUUUUGGGACGGAUCCGCGGUGGAGCAUGUAUGUUGGGACCCGAAAGAUGGUGAACUAUGCCUGAAUAGGGUGAAGCCAGAGGAAACUCUGGUGGAGGCUCGUAGCGAUUCUGACGUGCAAAUCGAUCGU